UAGCCCUCACCGGACAGGAUGCUCUGAGGCUAGAUGGGGAGGCGGGAGGGCCGGGAGGGCCGGGAGGGCGCUGCUGUCUGUCCAGACCCCGGAAUCGUACG
This 101-nucleotide small RNA is filed under the name Pteropus alecto (black flying fox). Its description in RNAcentral is "GRIK4 3 prime UTR element". It matches the Rfam family "GRIK4 3 prime UTR element". Lineage: Eukaryota; Metazoa; Chordata; Mammalia; Chiroptera; Pteropodidae. The record is from Rfam by way of RNAcentral.